This 345-nucleotide unclassified non-coding RNA is filed under the name soil metagenome. RNAcentral describes it as "partial contains 5.8S ribosomal RNA, internal transcribed spacer 2, and large subunit ribosomal RNA". The stretch from base 1 to 120 matches the Rfam family "5.8S ribosomal RNA", at positions 35 to 154 of the family's 154-position model. The record is from RNAcentral.
GAUGAAGAACGUAGCGAAAUGCGAUAAGUAAUGUGAAUCGCAGAAUUCAGUGAAUCAUCGAGUCUUUGAACGCACAUUGCGCCCCCUGGUAUUCCGGGGGGCAUGCCUGUCCGAGCGUCAUUGCUGCCCUCAAGCACGGCUUGUGUGUUGGGCCUCCGUCCUCCUCCCGGGGGACGGGCCCGAAAGGCAGCGGCGGCACCGCGUCCGGUCCUCGAGCGUAUGGGGCUUCGUCACCCGCUCUUGUAGGCCCGGCCGGCGCUUGCCGACACAUCAAUCUUUUUUCCAGGUUGACCUCGGAUCAGGUAGGGAUACCCGCUGAACUUAAGCAUAUCAAUAAGCGGAGGA